UAGAUGCCGAAGUCCCGCUCAAAGUAUGAUCCUGAUAAGAGAGGGAUAGACUUUCAGCUUGAGCUAUGGAGACGAUAGGUGUAAGCGUAUGCUCAUGGCGUCCAAGUUUGCCGCCACAAUCACCGCCCAAUUUGAAAAGAUUUAGGGUUUCUAGCUCUUCUUCUCCACUCGCUUUCACUCCUACCCGCGAAAAUACCUUGUCUCUAAUUCACAAUUCUGGUGUGAUUGCUUGCCUUCGCGCCAAUAGUGCAGAGCUCGCAUUUGAAGCCGCCUCUGCUGCACUGAGAGGUGGAAUCUCAGUACUGGAGAUUGUGAUGUCCACCCCAGGUGUGUUUCAGGUUUUACAACAGCUGGUGCAGGAACAUCCUACAGUGGCCUUGGGAGUGGGUACACUUCUAAAUGUGGAGGAUGCUAUAAAGGCAAAGAGGGCAGGAGCCAAAUUUCUAAUGAGUCCUGCAAUGGUGAUGGGUAUUGUGGAUGUCAUCCAGGAUGGUGAAAUUCUGUACAUACCUGGUGCAAUGACACCAACAGAAUGCCUGCCCCUUUUCAAUUCAUGUAUUGGUGAUAGAACUCAUAUUGCAGUCUCCUACACUGUAUUGAUAAAUGGAGAUUUUGAGCCAUUUUCCUGUUAUCAUUUUAACCGGAACUUGUUUUUACAGAUACUGUCUGCUUAUGAUGCUGGUUCUAAAAUUGUUAAGGUCUAUCCAGUUUCUGCAUUAGGUGGUUUCCAGUAUAUAUCAGCACUGAAGAAACCGUUCCCUCACAUAUCUUUAGUUGCUUCUCAAGGCAUAAUGAUAGAUUCUAUAGGUGAUUAUAUAUCAUGUGGAGCAUCAUCAGUUGUUUUAUCUGAUGCCAUAUUUAAUAAAGAGGCGAUGGCUCAGCAAAAUUUCAACACAAUAUCUCAACUUGCAAGCGUUGCUGCUUUGCAGGGAAAAGAAGCUGUAUUACGGUGAGGUUUUAGCACGAUCUAUUUUAUAUGAAUAGCUACCAUCUCCACGUUUCAGCAAUAGUUUCGAUGCCCACCAAACAAGAAGAACAGAAGAUUACUGACUUAAUGAGACUGGUAAAUGCAUAUAAAGCUUAUGCUUUCAUUCCAUUGCUCUGGUUUUUAUGCCACAAUUUUUUAGUUGAAAUAUUCUUUUGAGUUGUUGCAUCUGCGGAGGGUAGAUAAAUUGUACUACUGUCAUAGUGAAACACAAUGCAUGGGGUGCUUUGGAUUUUAUAAAUUAGGUACAUAAAAAUAAGUUUAAAUGCUCAAAGUUCAAAUGCAAUUAUUUAUACUAGUUAUUUUUUUGUUGAUUUGCUCUAA
Molecule: RNA transcript, 1309 nt
Organism: Manihot esculenta (cassava)
Lineage: Eukaryota; Viridiplantae; Streptophyta; Magnoliopsida; Malpighiales; Euphorbiaceae
Gene name: KHG/KDPG aldolase
Exons: 10
Source: RefSeq, a predicted model, not a curated record